GGUGGACACAAUCUAAUUGGCUUCCAGGAUGGCCAGAAUAAAAGCAGGCAGAAGAACAUGGAAAGACAAGACUAGCUAAGUCUUCUGGCCUUCAUCUUUCUCCCAUGCUUGAUGCUUCCGGUCCUCAAAUAUCAGACUCCAAGUUCUUCACCGUUUGGACUCUUGGACUUAUACCAGUGGUUUGCCAAGGGCUCUCUGGCUUUUGGCCACACACUGAAGACUGCACUGUUGGCUUCCCUACUUCUGAGGUUUUGGGACUCAGACUGGCUUCCUUGCUCCUCAGCUUGCAGAUGGCCUAUUGUGGGACUUCACCUUGUGAUCAUGUGAGUCAAUUCCCCUAAUAAACUCCCCUUCAUAUAUGCAUGUAUCCUAUUAGUUUUGUCCCUCUAGAGAACCCUGACUAAUACAUUCAUAAACACUUUAGCACAGAUCAGAGGGUCUGCCCUAAGACACCACUGCUCUGAUAUUUACACUACACCACUAUGGGAACCAAGAGGAGUGACUAUAUCCAUUUGGGGCAGUUGGCAUAGCAUUCCCAGAGAAAGUAAUAUUUCUGGGUUAUAAGCAGAGGUCUGCCAAGAUGGACAAGUGGGAAGAAGAGCAUUCCAGCUGAAGAGAAUGGAACACACAAAAACACAGAAAAAGGAAGGUUAAGGGCAAGUUGAAGGAUGGAGAAACAGGUUGGAUAGCCGGAGCCAAGGGUAGAGGAGGCAAGACCUGCAGUAAGUAGGAAUCCUCAGGCCAGGAGAAGCACCUAAGAGUAUUAAGGGAGAUAGACCAUGAUCACCUUUAUCUUUUUGAUUCAGCAAAUACUUACUGAGAGCUUACAAUGAAGGUAGGAAACCAACCUAGUCACUUGGGGGAUAUUACAAUGACAACCACUAAAUACAUGUGCAUAUUUAAAUUUAAAUUAAUUAAAAUUAAAUUUUAAUUUCCCAGUCACACUAGCCACAUUUCAAAUGCUCAGUAGUCACAUGUGGCUAGUGGCUCUCACACUGGUUAGUGCAGGUAUCGAACAUUUGUAUCACUGCAGAAAGUUCUAUUGGAUGGUGACAAUCUAAUCACAGGAGGGGAUAGCUAUUCACCUUCCAUCUAAUUUUUCAUUUUAUGUGGCUAUUUCCUUUUUAGUCUUUUUAAAAAGUUACUUCUUCUGCCUGUCCCUUUUAGUCAGAAGAAUCUGAGGAUUCUUUUGAUGGCACAGUGGGGCGGCUGCACAAGCACCUGCAUUGGGCAAUCAGAUCAUAGUAGUGGUUGUCAAAAGAUUGCAAAAGGGAUUGCAGAAAUCCCUUUGAAAAUGCACGUGGUCUUUUAUGUAUUGGAUGAGCGAGAUAUGCUCACACCUGCCUAGAGAAUCCAAGUAGUGGGGUCUGCCUGCCUCAAUCUGUUCACCUUAUUCAUUCUGAAUGUGUGUAGCUCAAAGCAUGUCCUCCCAAAGCAAAAGAAUAUUUACAAAAGAGACACAAACUGAAUUCCUCACCUGGCACUCUGUCAUUUCCAGUGCCACACAAAUGAAAGUAAACCAGCCACUAGCAACAGUCAUUUCCGAAAUCCAGUGGGAAAUUUAAAACUCAUGAUUUUAUAUAUUUUACAUAAUAAAUUCAUAGGAACUGGAAUUUUAUUUGAAGAGUUGUUUCCUUCUGCUUCUUCAUCUUCCAUUUGAUUACAAGAACCAACCAACCAACCAACCAACCAAGUUUUUACUGAUAUCCUAGAAUAAAUCUAUCAAACAGAAACACUGAGCUGUGUUUAAUCAGUGUCACUGCAGAGAAAUUUAAACUUAACACAGUACAAAUCAUAAUAAUUAUGCAUUUAAAUACUAAAUUCACCCUAAAGAGGCAAUUUAGUAUUUAACUGAGAAAAGAACAAGUGUCUCUUUAUUCCUGGUAUGGUACACCUUUCAGGUUUCAAACAAAUACCACCCACUUUAUAAAAGCUCUCCUCGUUAUCAUAAUAACAAGAGGAAUUAUAAGAGAGGAAAAAUGCUAUUUUUAAAAAUAAAAUUUCAACUUUUAUUGACCGUGAUGCCUGUAUCAACAGCUUAACCCAGUCUGCUUUAUAUGACUUUUAGUAGCCAAAUAAAGUAUAAUAUUUUUUAAAAGCUUGUAAACACUAGUAGACCAGUUCUUAAAGGCCUGGAACAGCUACAUGAACCAGAAGCUACAUAGAAAAGAGAUUGUAUUUUUUCUAAGGCAGAGAAGGUGUCAUUGCAAUCAAUAAGAUGUCUUUUACAGUUUUUCUUCUUUUGGUGUGUGUGUGUGUGUGUGUGUGUGUGUGUGUGUGUGUGUGUGUGUGUGUGUGUGUUUAGGGCUUGGUUAAUUCUAUUGCCCUUGCACCUGCAAGCAAAAGGGUACAGAAUAUUCCCACUCUCCUUUUUCUCUAAUUCUACAAGACUGAGGAAGGAACAGCGACCAAGCUCUUAAAGUUUUCCAGCUGCUUAUAGAGAGGUGGGUUGUGUUCCACAUUUUACUCUUACAGCCCUGCCACCAGAUGAAAGGAAAAGCAUAAAAGCAUCAGCAAAGCCUGGACUCUGCUUUUCCUGCUCUAACAUGCCAUCAAAUAGAGACAGAGCACUCGACUGAUGUAGGCAUUCUGUUGUUCGUAUUUGCCGAGUUCAGCUAAGAAUGUCUGAGAUCAACAGGUGGCCUUGCUAAUGGAACAGAUUCACUCAUUGUUUGUGUGUUUAAUGAAUCAUUGAGUUACUGAUCAACAGUGAGCAAUGGAAGCUGUUCAAACAGAAAGGAAGCCCAGCCGUGAGGUGGUGCUGCCAACACACUCCUUUGAAGCUCGGCUGGCCCCUGUGGGGAGUGCAGGAGGCUGGGGGUCUACUCCCUACGGUUCCCAGAGAAAUGGUAGCAAGAAGACGGUGUUAUUUCUAAUUGGAUGAUGAAAGUCAGCCUAGGGGACAGAGACCAAAGGGCCAUACGUAAGAAGAGGAGGAAGUGAAAACAUCUGAAUCAAAGGUUGAGGUAAAACUGAGAGACAGUGUUUGCAGUGAACCAUGCAGUAACCUUCAUCUUGCCCCCUGGUCUUCAGGAAACAAGCAAGUGGGGAAGGACCGAAAGAGGGUACUAAAUUUCCAAAUGAUCAGACGUGAAGUUUCAUGGCCCAUAAUGGCUACACAUUUGAAGACUCAAGCAAAUAAAUUAGAAAUAAAGCCUACCAGCAAACCAAAAGAUAAUUACAUGUAAAAGCAAGUCUCCUUGAUUUCUGAUACUUGCACUUAUGAGAAUGAGAAAACAACGAUAGCACAGAGAGAUGGUGGACAUGGAGGACAGGUCCUGUAGGCUCACUUCAUGGGCUUUUUCAUACCCUGACCACUUUCCACGCUGGAUUCAUUUUACUGUAGUGAAACAAUUGGCUGUAGAUAAUGUUAAAAGAUAGGACUUUGGUAACAGGAGAAUUCAUGGAUUCUUGAAAUUCCUGAAUGGAACUGGCUCUCCAGAAGCUACUUGCAGCUCAAAAGAGAAAGAGAGAGAGAAAGCAAGCCAGAGAAACAUUUGAGGUCAUAUAACACUUUGUCUCCAAUGUUCUCAAGGCCUCCCUCUGUGCACAGACCUCACUUUGAAAUUACCACCUGUCACAGGCCUAGCAAAUCCCCUCACCAGAGACCAUGUCUAAUUCUUUGUUUUAAAGGGCACUCGAUGGUUUUCUCCAGAGAAGUCAUCAUCAUCAGUGGCAGCAACAUCCUACUUUAUUUACACAGCUUAGCAUAGGACCAUCCCCACAAUAUAACAAGAAAGAUUUGACCCUGUGGGCUUUUUCCUGUUCUAAAUUUUCUCCUUUUGCUUGGACAAAAGGUCCAUCAUUUCUGAGAAAAAAAAAGGGAGGAUGGGGCUGGGUAAGGAGACUGCCACAGUAACAGCGUAAUGCUAUUAGUCUGAAUUCUCCCAUGACGGAGCCCUCGCUGGGAAAGACAAUUACAGGCAAAAGGGUGAUAACCUCACGAGGCAAUAACCUCCUGAGAGAUCCUGUGCCACAUGUACAGGUUAUUAAUUUCAGGGAAGGAGCCAAACUUCAGGGGCCCUCUCAGAACCGACUCUUUCAAGGUUUGCCCAUCUCUAAUGAGCUGGGUCUUUUUUGCGAUUGUCUAACCACACGAUUUCCUUAAUUCUUAGCUGGUUGCAUAAUGGCAAAGAUAAAUGUGGCUUUUUCCAGCUGCUUCUAAAAUAGGUUCAAGGUUGAAUUAAUAUGAAUGGAAAUACUUUCUGUUCAUGUAAAGGGUUGGAAGAAACCGUAUGUGUGGGAUUUGCUGAUACCUGCUAAAAUGUACACUGUGUGUCCUACAUGGAGGACACAAGACGGGCAGAGGUGGAAUAAUGACUUAUAGGAGCCCCAAAGUCCUAAGACGGUGAAAUUCCACCAAAUUUAUUCCAUUUCAGCAGGAGCUAGAAUAUUCCAAAAUUCAAAAAAAUGGACUUAGUUAUAAAGGAAUCUUUUCAGAAGUCUUGACUCUCAUCACAUACUCAAUGUUAAUUACCAUUUGUGUGUAGAACGGUGUGAAUUAAAACUAAAGAAACAAACAAAAAACUUGCCUUGUUAUUCUGCCAAAGGACCCCAUAAUCUAAUGAGGGAGAAGUGGCACCUGCAGACCAAAGAACACACAAGAUUUCGAAGGUGGUUAUUCCAAGUGAAAACACACAACUGAAAAAGUCCAUGAGGACUGAGUGGAAAUUGACAAGAACAAGGGGAGUUCAUCAGGAACAACUUUUCCAGGAAAACUUGAGGUUCAGAUUUGAGAGGAUAAUAUGGCUGGAUGAAUAGGAGAAAAUAAGCUACUCCAGAGGAAAUGAAGGAAGUUAAGACAUGGAAUCACAAUCCAUUUCACCUCUUUGUUCUUUUCUUUUAACCUUAACUGCAACCUUCCCCAUAGUAAGCAGAGGAAGAGUAGAUAUUGUUUCUGUGGUUAAGUUACAGAAAGUGUGUUGCUUGCUAGGUACUGCAAAGUAUUUUUCUGUUAGUGACAAGCAAAUCAUAUCAAAUUGUUCAAACUCAAUUUCAACUCUUAUAAGAGGAUAGACAUGGGUUUUGAGGAAAUGGUUAUCAUUUGCCUUGUUAUUACCUCAUCUUUGAGCCCCAACAUGUGCCUUUACUACUUAUCCCAGUGAUUCUUUCAAAAAAUUAUUUAAUAAAUCAAAAUAUUCCAUAAGUCAAAAUAUCUUCAGGUUGCGGAUUUACCUUUGACUUUCAUCUUAACCAAUUGUUUAAAAUUCCCCCAUUCUCCUCUCAUCUAUUGUGUAUAAAUUCAGAUUAAAAUGUAGUUAAAUUCAUUAAUGCUCAUUAUUUAUGUGUCUAAGACUGAUACUAAUAAUGACAACCAUGUAUUCGACACUUUCCAAACUGCAGGCCGUAGGCUCAGUCCUUUGUUUUGUUAGUUUAUUUAAUCCUUAUAACAAGACUAACCAGUGCUUCCAAAAUCCCAAUGGAUAUUAAUCUUUGGGAAUUGAAAACAAAAAAAAUUAGAAUCCCCAGAAAAUCUUAGAAAUUUCUGAAAUCAUAAGUUAUUCUGUAUUUUACUAGUAUUUACCAAGAGAGAAGUAAUAUUUAAUAUUUUAGUUGUUUAGCUUUUUUUGGUUUAGUGGGGUUUUUUUUGUGGGUUGGUGGGAUUGUUUUGUUUUGUUGGCUUGUUUUUAUUUUUUAAUAUUUUAUAGUAUUUACAAAGAUGUGGUUUAUAGUUAAUAUUCAAAAAUUAGAAAAUGCCUGCAAAAAUUAUGAGAUAAUGCUAACAAACCUAACAUUUGGACUCCCUAGCAAGAUUAACAACACUACACGAACUGAUAUGUCAAAAUUGCUAAUUUAAGGACUUAUUUUCUUCCAAAUGUGUUAUUUCUUGAAACACCGUUCAUAGGAUUUGUAUAAAGUAUACGAUGCAUAUGAACUUAUAGACAUUUAUUUUAUUUAUAAGAAUGACUCACCCUUAGUCACAGAGAAGAUCACAAACAAGCUCUUAUAACACGGUUAGUUGGUUUUCUAUUACUACAUAACAAAUUACCACAAAUUUAGCAGCUUUAAACAACACAAACAUAUUAUUUCAUGUUUCUGUAGGUCAAGAUCCACAGGGCCAAAAUCUAAAAGUGUCAGCUGAGACUGCAGUUCUCACUGGGAGCUUGGGGUCCUCUCCAAGUUCACUGGAUGCUGGAAGAAUUCAUUUCCUCGAGGCUGCAGGACUUAGAUCCACAUUUUCCUGCUAGCUGCUGGCUGGGAACCACUCUCAGCAACCAAAGGCUGUCCACAGUUUCUUGUCAUGUGGUCCCAUCAGGCAGUUCACACUCGAUAUUUUUCUUUCUUCCAGGCCAGCUGGAGUAUGGCUCUCCGCCUUCCUUUCCAGCACCAGUCAGAAAAAACUCAGGUUUUAAAGGGCUCAGGUGAUAGGUCAGGCCCACCUACCUAAUCUCCCUGUCUUUAGGUAAACUGAUUUGAUUCUUUAAUUGUAUCUCCAAAAUCCCUUUACAGCAGUACUUUUACUGAAUAAGGAAAAGAAGGUGUGUAUUGGCGCUGUGGCUCACGUCUGUAAUGCCAGCACUUUGGGAGGCCCAGGCAGGUGGAUCACUUUGAGCUCAGGAGUUCAAGACCAGCCUGAGCAACACUGUGAAACCCUGGCUCUACUAAAAGUACAAAAAUUAGCAGGGCAUGGUAGGGCGCCUGUAAUCCCAGCUACUCAGCAGGCUGAGGCUGGAGAAUGGCACGAUCCCAGGAGACAGAGGUUGCAGUGAGCUGAGAUCGUGCCACUGCACUCCAGCCUGGGCGACAGAGAGAGAAUCUGUCUCAAACGAACGAACAAACAAACAAACAAACAGAAGGUGUGUGUACACCAGAAGCAUGGAAAUUUGAGGCUGUCUUAAAAUUUUGCCUGCCACACAUAACAAUAGCCAUCAGCCACA
Molecule: long non-coding RNA, 6878 nt
Filed under: Homo sapiens (human)
Lineage: Eukaryota; Metazoa; Chordata; Mammalia; Primates; Hominidae
Description: HSALNT0211127
Source: RNAcentral